This 1063-nucleotide ribosomal RNA is filed under the name uncultured bacterium. Its description in RNAcentral is "partial 16S ribosomal RNA". It matches the Rfam family "Bacterial small subunit ribosomal RNA", at positions 320 to 1406 of the family's 1533-position model. The record is from RNAcentral.
UGAGACACGGCCCAGACUCCUACGGGAGGCAGCAGUGGGGAAUCUUGCGCAAUGGGGGGAACCCGGACGCAGCGACGCCGCGUGCGGGACGGAGGCCUUCGGGUCGUAAACCGCUUUCAGCAGGGAAGAGUCAAGACUGUACCUGCAGAAGAAGCCCCGGCUAACUACGUGCCAGCAGCCGCGGUAAUACGUAGGGGGCGAGCGUUAUCCGGAUUCAUUGGGCGUAAAGCGCGAGUAGGCGGCCCGGCAGGCCGGGGGUCGAAGCGGGGGGCUCAACCCCCCGAAGCCCCCGGAACCUCCGCGGCUUGGGUCCGGUAGGGGAGGGUGGAACACCCGGUGUAGCGGUGGAAUGCGCAGAUAUCGGGUGGAACACCGGUGGCGAAGGCGGCCCUCUGGGCCGAGACCGACGCUGAGGCGAGAAAGCUGGGGGGAGCGAACAGGAUUAGAUACCCUGGUAGUCCCACCCGUAAACGAUGGACGCUAGGUGUGGGGGGACGAUCCCCCCGUGCCGCAGCCAACGCAUUAAGCGUCCCGCCUGGGGAGUACGGCCGCAAGGCUAAAACUCAAAGGAAUCGACGGGGGCCCGCACAAGCAGCGGAGCAUGUGGCUUAAUUUGAAGCAACGCGAAGAACCUUACCAGGGCUUGACAUAUGGGUGAAGCGGGGGAGACCCCGUGGCCGAGAGGAGCCCAUACAGGUGGUGCAUGGCUGUCGUCAGCUCGUGUCGUGAGAUGUUGGGUUAAGUCCCGCAACGAGCGCAACCCCCGCCGCGUGUUGCCAUCGGGUGAUGCCGGGAACCCACGCGGGACCGCCGCCGUCAAGGCGGAGGAGGGCGGGGAGGACGUCAAGUCAUCAUGCCCCUUAUGCCCUGGGCUGCACACGUGCUACAAUGGCCGGUACAGAGGGAUGCCACCCCGCGAGGGGGAGCGGAUCCCGGAAAGCCGGCCCCAGUUCGGAUUGGGGGGUGCAACCCGCCCCCACGAAGUCGGAGUUGCUAGUAAUCGCGGAUCAGCAUGCCGCGGUGAAAAAGUUCCCGGGCCUUGCACACACCGCCCAAGGGCGAA